Molecule: ribosomal RNA, 251 nt
Filed under: uncultured prokaryote
Description: partial 16S rRNA
Rfam family: Bacterial small subunit ribosomal RNA
Source: RNAcentral
ACAGAGGGUGCGAACGUUGUUCGGAAUUACUGGGCGUAAAGCGCGUGUAGGCGGUUAUGCAAGUCGGGUGUGAAAGCCCUCGGCUCAACUGGGGAAGUGCACUCGAAACUGCAUAACUUGAGUCCCGGAGAGGAUGGUGGAAUUCUCGGUGUAGAGGUGAAAUUCGUAGAUAUCGAGAGGAACACCGGUGGCGAAGGCGGCCAUCUGGACGGUGACUGACGCUGAGACGCGAAAGCAUGGGGAGCAAACAG